UCUAGAGUUCCCAAUUGCCUGGGGAUGCAAAGAAAAGGUUAACGAGCAGCUAUGGAAAUUGAGGAAAUAGAAGGAAUGGAAGUGGAUUACGGGGUACCUUUACACAAAACGGGUGUUGCGUUGGUCCCUGAUGCUCGCUCUGGGGUAGUGCUGAAGUGGACGCUAGAAAAUGCAGUAGAGAGGAACGGGGAGCUUCUUCUGUUCCAUGUCCGAUCUGUUGUCCGAACAAUUACAACUCCUGGUAAGUCACUCUUUAGAAACAUCACUUGCAUCUAACAAAUUGUGUAAGUUGGGAGAGUACCUGUCUCGCAAGUUUCGAAGGAAAAACUUGCAGCGUAUAUGGCAACCAAGGAGGCCAAGACAGCGGACUUCUCUCAGGAGCUGCAAAAUGUCUGCAGACGUUAUGAGGUCCGAUCGGCUUGCUGAAAACUCAAAGGAAACACUUGACUUACAGGUGAAAGCAGAAUUCGUUCUCGUAGAGAGCGACGAUGUUGGUAAGUCUUUGGUGGAGCAAAUUGAGAAGUACCAAGUGACAACAUUCGUUCUUGGAGAGUCCCGAACAAACCUUCUGUAAGUAAGCAAGCUUGUUUC
RNAcentral lists this long non-coding RNA (591 nucleotides) under Selaginella moellendorffii. RNAcentral's name for it is "long non-coding RNA (SMOE_LNC001997)". The record is from RNAcentral. Lineage: Eukaryota; Viridiplantae; Streptophyta; Lycopodiopsida; Selaginellales; Selaginellaceae.